AGAAAUUGAUGAGACAGGGGGCUGAAAAAUGUAAUAUUAAAUGUUAAAUAAGUAAAGUCUGAAUUCAGUAGCAAGAUGAUUAAGUAAAGUCUGACAAAAAAAAAUUUCUUCAAAAAAUUGAUAGUAUAAUUUUAAAAGUAGUGUAUUCCAUUUUUAUUUCCUUAAUCAUUGCUACUGACCUUAAAUAUGACUAAGAAAGGAGGGAGUAUAAUCCUUUUAUUCAAUAUGACUACAGAUAUAUUAUUAGUAUUGUAAGGCAAUGAACAAGAGGGAGGGAGGGGCCCAAGCCCCUGCUUGCCCCUGCCUAAGUCCGUCCCUG
Molecule: long non-coding RNA, 319 nt
Filed under: Trifolium pratense (red clover)
Lineage: Eukaryota; Viridiplantae; Streptophyta; Magnoliopsida; Fabales; Fabaceae
Description: long non-coding RNA (TPRA_LNC003473)
Source: RNAcentral